This 31-nucleotide non-coding RNA is filed under the name Homo sapiens (human). Lineage: Eukaryota; Metazoa; Chordata; Mammalia; Primates; Hominidae. The record is from RNAcentral.
UGACAUCAGUGGUGUCAAGACAACUCUAAGA